UACGUAGGUGGCAAGCGUUGUCCGGAUUUAUUGGGUUUAAAGGGAGCGUAGGCUGCCCGGCAAGCGUGCUGUGAAAUACAGUGGCCCAACCACUGGACUGCAGCGCGAACUGUCGGGCUUGAGGGCGCACGACGCAGGCGGAAUUUGUGGUGUAGCGGUGAAAUGCUUAGAUAUCACGAAGAACCCCGAUUGCGAAGGCAGCUUGCAGGAGCGCGACUGACGCUGAAGCUCGAAAGUGCGGGUAUCAAACAGG
Molecule: ribosomal RNA, 253 nt
Filed under: uncultured microorganism
Description: partial small subunit ribosomal RNA
Rfam family: Bacterial small subunit ribosomal RNA
Source: RNAcentral